AGGGAAUCUUCCGCAAUGGGCGAAAGCCUGACGGAGCAACGCCGCGUGAGUGAUGAAGGUCUUCGGAUCGUAAAACUCUGUUAUCAGGGAAGAACAAAUGUGUAAGUAACUGUGCACAUCUUGACGGUACCUGAUCAGAAAGCCACGGCUAACUACGUGCCAGCAGCCGCGGUAAUACGUAGGUGGCAAGCGUUAUCCGGAAUUAUUGGGCGUAAAGCGCGCGUAGGCGGUUUUUUAAGUCUGAUGUGAAAGCCCACGGCUCAACCGUGGAGGGUCAUUGGAAACUGGAAAACUUGAGUGCAGAAGAGGAAAGUGGAAUUCCAUGUGUAGCGGUGAAAUGCGCAGAGAUAUGGAGGAACACCAGUGGCGAAGGCGACUUUCUGGUCUGUAACUGACGCUGAUGUGCGAAAGCGUGGGGAUCAAACAGGAUUAGAUACCCUGGUAGUCCACGCCGUAAACGAUGAGUGCUAAGUGUUAGGGGGUUUCCGCCCCUUAGUGCUGCAGCUAACGCAUUAAGCACUCCGCCUGGGGAGUACGACCGCAAGGUUG
RNAcentral lists this ribosomal RNA (549 nucleotides) under uncultured bacterium. RNAcentral's name for it is "bacterial SSU rRNA". It matches the Rfam family "Bacterial small subunit ribosomal RNA", at positions 356 to 896 of the family's 1533-position model. The record is from RNAcentral.